AAACCGGGAUUAAUACCGCAUAAAAUCGUAGAAACACAUGUUUUAACGGUCAAAGAUUUAUCGGUCAUAGAUGGGCUCGCGUCUGAUUAGCUAGUUGGUGAGAUAACAGCCACCAAGGCGACGAUCAGUAGCCGGUCUGAGAGGAUGAACGGCCACAUUGGAACUGAGACACGGUUCAA
Molecule: ribosomal RNA, 179 nt
Filed under: uncultured Eubacteriales bacterium
Lineage: Bacteria; Bacillati; Bacillota; Clostridia; Eubacteriales
Description: uncultured Clostridiales bacterium partial 16S ribosomal RNA
Rfam family: Bacterial small subunit ribosomal RNA
Source: RNAcentral